Molecule: ribosomal RNA, 854 nt
Filed under: Pseudoclavibacter sp.
Lineage: Bacteria; Bacillati; Actinomycetota; Actinomycetes; Micrococcales; Microbacteriaceae
Description: bacterial SSU rRNA
Rfam family: Bacterial small subunit ribosomal RNA
Source: RNAcentral
AAUCCCGAAGCUCAACUUUGGUUCUGCAUGGGACGUCAGAUAGAGUGGGUAGAGAGAUUGGAAUUCUUGGGGAGCGGUGGAAUGCGCAGAUAUCAGGAGGAACACGAUGGCGAAGGCAGAUCUUUGGGCCAUUACUGACGCUGAGGAGCGAAAGCAUGGGGAGCGAACAGGAUUAGAUACCCUGGGUAGUCCAUGCCGUAAACGUUGGGCGCUAGAUGUGGGGACCAUUCCACGGUUUCCGUGUCGUAGCUAACGCAUUAAGCGCCCCCGCCUGGGGAGUACGGCCGCAAGGCUAAAACUCAAAGGAAUUGACGGGGGCCCGCACAAGCGGCGGAGCAUGCGGAUUAAUUCGAUGCAACGCGAAGAACCUUACCAAGGCUUGACAUAUACCGGAAACGUUCAGAAAUGUUCGCCCCGCAAGGUCGGUAUACAGGUGGUGCAUGGUUGUCGUCAGCUCGUGUCGUGAGAUGUUGGGUUAAGUCCCGCAACGAGCGCAACCCUCGUCGUAUGUUGCCAGCACGUAAUGGUGGGAACUCAUAUGAGACUGCCGGGGUCAACUCGGAGGAAGGUGGGGAUGACGUCAAAUCAUCAUGCCCCUUAUGUCUUGGGCUUCACGCAUGCUACAAUGGCUGGUACAAUGGGCUGCAAUACCGCGAGGUGGAGCGAAUCCCAAAAAGCCAGUCUCAGUUCGGAUUGGGGUCUGCAACUCGACCCCAUGAAGUCGGAGUCGCUAGUAAUCGCAGAUCAGCAACGCUGCGGUGAAUACGUUCCCGGGCCUUGUACACACCGCCCGUCAAGUCAUGAAAGUCGGUAACACCCGAAGCCGGUGGCCUAACCCUUGGGAGGGAGCCUCG